UUUUCUCUUCCCUAAAGAGCAGACAGCCGGGAAGGUGUCACCCUGCCUGCACGGGCAGGAGAGUGAUGCUAUGGAGAUGGCAGAUAGUCAAUGUGGACAUCAUUCUCCCAUCAGCUACAGCCCUGCUCAAACAGAAGUUGGAAAACAGGUCUGCCCUAAACAGGAACCUGUGCAUGGCUUAAUUUGCAUUUAAGCAGUAAACAGUCAUCAAGCAGGAAGAGCACAUAAAGGAAGUUCAAACAGGUGAAAAAACCAGCAGGGAAUAUCCUUCCAUCUAGACUCUUCGGGUCCUGGCUUUCAGCUGGAAAUGUUUUUCAAAAGAGGGACUAAAACUAUAAAAAUGAGGGGCAAAGCACCCUUCUGUCCCCCACUGCCCAUCAUAUUCACAGGAAGCGGCUGUUGAGCUCUAGCGGAAAGGUCCUGAUUGAAGGAGUUUGGCCAGUAAGACUGCUGAAAUCAUGUGGUGAGAACCUGCUUUGAAUCCAAUGUAGUUUGUUAAGUCAGACAUCGGUAAGCAUU
Long non-coding RNA from Gopherus evgoodei (Goodes thornscrub tortoise), 519 nucleotides. RefSeq lists it as uncharacterized. NCBI's taxonomy places the organism in Eukaryota, Metazoa, Chordata, Testudines, Testudinidae. The record is from RefSeq and is a predicted model, not a curated record. The transcript has 3 exons.